Molecule: signal recognition particle RNA, 267 nt
Filed under: Bacillota bacterium
Lineage: Bacteria; Bacillati; Bacillota
Description: Firmicutes bacterium (anaerobic digester metagenome) signal recognition particle sRNA large type
Rfam family: Bacterial large signal recognition particle RNA
About the family: The signal recognition particle (SRP) is a universally conserved ribonucleoprotein involved in the co-translational targeting of proteins to membranes. Archaeal SRP consists of a 7S RNA and homologues of the eukaryotic SRP19 and SRP54 proteins. In most bacteria, the SRP consists of a 4.5S RNA and the Ffh protein (a homologue of the eukaryotic SRP54 protein).
Source: RNAcentral
CCGUGCUAGAUGGGGAGGUAGCGGUGCCCUGUAACCUGCAACCCGCUAUAGCAGGAUUGAAGGCCUACGUUGAGGCAUCCCAGCUGUGGGGCCUGGUGUCGGCAAGUGGUGUUGACGGUUGGGUCCUGGGCAAUUGAUCUUUUGCAAACCCCGUCAGGUCCGGAAGGAAGCAGCGGUAAGCAGAAGUAUCGAUGUGCCCCAGGGUAGCCUGGCUCGAGCUAACUGCCGAAGUGCCGCCCGGAGUUGGAUGUCGAAAGUAGGGCACGG